Cucumis melo (muskmelon) is the source of this 1587-nucleotide long non-coding RNA. RefSeq lists it as uncharacterized. The record is from RefSeq and is a predicted model, not a curated record. The transcript has 3 exons. Lineage: Eukaryota; Viridiplantae; Streptophyta; Magnoliopsida; Cucurbitales; Cucurbitaceae.
CAUAGGAGGAUGAAGGAAUUGAGAAGUGAGAGCAAUAGGAGGGAGGUCCCAUUUCUUUAACUUACCAAAAGGAUCAUCCCAGAAAUGGUUGAGCUUCAUCAGACCGACGUUACAACAAGGAGAAGACGACAAAAUAAUACAGCUUGAAUAGAGAAAUCAUAAAAAAAAAAAAAAAAAAAAAUGAGGUGGAGCAUCUCCCCAAAAGCAAGAGUCCACCAAAAACAGCAGCAAUCAAACAUGAUUCCUCGAUGUUUUGGUAAUUUUACAAGAAAAUGGUCUAAACAGGAGGGGAAAAAAAACUUGUGGUAUAAAAAUUAAAAAAUGUAGUUCCAUUUUAUUUUGAUCUCCCAUUUUAGUUUAUCCCUAAAAUUCCCCAUAAAUAAAUAAAAGUUAAAACCUAACAUAAAUCAAUUCCCCGUUUCCUUUCCAUCCAAUUCAAGCUUCAGGGGUGUUUGGCAACGUAGUAAUUUGAGAGAAUUUGGUUGGGCGGCUAAAAAAACCAAUCCAUCCUUUUGGUUCACCAAUAAUUAAAGGGUUUUAUUGCCUCUUAUUCCUCACAUUUCUGGCUUGGUUGCUCUGUCUACUCCUCCAAUUACUUCCUUAUAAUUAUUGCCAACUCAACUAUUUGUUUUUAUCCCCGAUCAAUUGUCCACUUAAUGAGUUAUAAACAGUUUUUUGCUAUUUCAUAAUUCAUAUUAAAUUCACUAUUUUGUGUGUUCUGUAAAAUUGAUCAUUGAGAGUAGUAUUUUUAAACUUGUUUCAUUUCAAAACACAACACUCAAAAGUUUAUUCCGAACUCUAAUGCAUACUUGGAUCAAUGCAUGGUAAAAAAAUAAUUUUGAACAUUCUAAUAACACUUCAGAUAUACUCUAAAGCGUUUGAAGCACUUUCUGCUUCUUCUACGAGUAACGAAAUGUUUGUUACUCUUAGAAGCCAUUCUAAACUCACUCUAUCUAGUUGUGAGAGAAGAGACAAAAAAAUCUUUUAUAAAACAGUAGGGACUGAGUUUUGUUCUAAGAAGUCAGCCUCUUAGCCAGUUCUCAGGAGCUUAGUGCAUCCUUUGGAUCAUUCACGCAAAAAUGACAUGAAUUAUAGGUUGGUUUCACAAAGACUUGAUAGCACGUAAGUUCGAGUUGUUUCACCACUUUACAUCUGCGCUCCAAACAUCAGCAAAGAACAACGAAACCAGGUACUCUCAAACCUUUACUCAUGUUAAAUUUGCUUCUGCAUUUCAUAAAUUAUAGAAUUCUUUCAUUUCCUUCGCGUGUUUUUUAUCUUUAGAUUUCCAUUUUUGUUUCUCCUUGGUUGGGAGUUUUCUGAAGCCGUCAUGACAAUUGGUAGAACAUAUGGAAGUUCUUGAGGAUCUAUCAGCACAUGACAAGAAGCAUCCACGACGGUACCAUGGGUUCAGUUAAAAGCUUCUGCUCUUAUUUUCAUGAUUUAAGUGUAAGUUUUAAAAUAUUUGAACUUAGAGUUUCACUACUUGCAUUCUUGAAAAUUUUAUGUAUAUUCUUGUUUUGAAUUUAUAUUUUAGGGGGACCUCAAGAAAAGAUUUAAUAUUAGUAUUGAAUUGUUAUUUUUAUCAAA